GUAAAUUAAGAUAUAUCGGUGUGAAAUAAGAGUAUCUGGUUUUCACAACAGACAAAGCAUUAACAAAAUGCAGAAGCUCAAGAAAACAUCGUUGGAACGAUUUAUGAAAUAGAGCUGUGGGGUAAAUCGAAUCAAGUAAAUCUGGACACACACAACGAGACAACUAUUUGCUGGGCGUUUGAAACGAAUUGUGAAGUGUGGCUAUGACGUCGUCAGGAAUGUCUCAAGCCGCAACGACGUCACAAGCUGAAUCUGAACGAUUUACGCCUUCUAAAGAACCAUUUUAUAAGAAGCCAUGCAUCGUUGGAAGAUUUCAGUUUAAUGCGGUUAAUAGAGACGUGCCUUUCAUAAAAAUAAACUGGAUUAAAGAGGAGAUCAACAUUUGCGAAAAAGUGGCAGAAAGAGUUCUGAACAUGCUUCCAGAACUUCAAAAGAUAAAGCUUGUUCUAUCGAUUUAUGAUGGCGUGUUUAAUUAUAAAUAUGCUCGUGACAACUUUGUACGUGGUCUUAAGAGAAUAAUGCCAGGUAAGGAAAAAUACUUGAAUUCCAUGCAUCAACAUUAUCAUCAUCAUCAUCAUCAUCAUCAUCAUCAUCAUCAUCAUCAUCAUCAUCAUCAUCAUCAUCAUCAUCAUCAUCAUCAUCAUCAUCAUCAUCAUCAUCAUCAUCAUCAUCAUCAUCAUCAUCAUCAUCAUCAUCAUCAUCAUCAUCAUCAUCAUCAUCAUCAUCAUCA
Dreissena polymorpha is the source of this 730-nucleotide long non-coding RNA. RefSeq lists it as uncharacterized. NCBI's taxonomy places the organism in Eukaryota, Metazoa, Mollusca, Bivalvia, Myida, Dreissenidae. The record is from RefSeq and is a predicted model, not a curated record. The transcript is spliced from 4 exons.